AGGAUCAGAUACAGCAGAGGGAGAAAGACUUGCCCGGCUGGUGCUGGCCUUGAAGGUGGAAGGCGCUGUGACCUAAGGAAUGUGGGUGGCCUCUAGGAGCUGGAAAAGGCAAGACGUGGAUUCUCUCCUGGAGCUUCCAGAAGGGCUCCCAGGCCUGCCGACACCUUGAUAUUAGCCCAGCGAGACCCUUUUCAGACUUCUGACCUCCAGAGUUACGUGGAUGCUGUUUGGACCACAGGCUGAGGCCACGCCCUACAGAAGCUGGAGGAACGAGCUGGAGGGAGCAGAGCCACAGAAGAGCCUUGGAAUUUCUGCCUUCACGUUUUGACUUGAGCUCUGAGACUUACAACUUAUGAUGCAGACUGAACAAAUGUUUAUUGAGUGGCUUAAUGUGUGUGAAUCCUGUGCUAGACGUGUUCCCAUACAUAUAAUCUCUGAUUUAAUAUUUUCAAUGACCCUCGAUUUUCCACGCGAGGGGGCUGAGGCUUGGAGGUGUGAAGUGACUUGACUGAGCUGGUAUUUGUAAUAAGUGGUAAAAACUGCGAUUUCAGCCCAGGUGUUCUCAAUAAGGGGCAAAGCUGAGAUUUGUGACCCCGUGGCUGGAGCCAGGUGUAGCUUAUCGAUGGUGCCGGCCUGGGAUCCUUGAAGCGGACUUGAGAUGAAGCAACAAGAGGCAGGCCCUGAUGAAGACGCCUCCAGGUUAUAAAGGAAGGCCCUUUCUCUUCUGAAAAGUUGUCUGCAGCAAGGACUGGUCAUUAUGCCUAUCCUGGGCGCUAACUGGGGACCCCAGGCCACCUGUUGUGUGUAUCUUUGUGGAAAAUAAUUCUGCCCAAGGCAGGGUAACUCUGAGAACUGAGACACGUGAAUAGUUCCCAGCUGAUGGAACAGCUGAAGCAGUCAAGCCUCCCAGGCCUUGGUUACAGCAACACAGCGCAUAACACGCCAGCGUGACUCCAACUGCCCCGGGGAGUCAGCAGGUUGAUAUUUUCCACCCAACACUUUGACUGCCCAGGCGUCGAUCUUACUAGCACGAGAGUAACUGCUUUGGUUUACUUUAAGAAUUAAAGAAAGACAACCAUGAUCACACCUGAUCGCCCUCUGAAAACAGUGUCUGUUCUUUGAGCUAAAGCAUGGAGUACCUAAUUAAAUUGCAGUCAAGAGAAGGUAUCUGGUUAGGUGAGAGGACUGGUGGAUGGAAAAUUAUGUCUCAGAUUCAUAGGAUGACAGAACUGGGAGGAGCCCUGGAGAUCAUCUGGGUCCUCAGCUUACAGAGGAGGAAACUGAGGCUCUGAGGUCACCCAAGGUCACAUAGCCGCCAACUGGUAAUUCUGGACUUCAAACUCAAGUCUCGUUCUUGGGCAGUUUUCUUUAAUCUACAACAUCCUGCUGUCUUGAAUACCAUUUUGGCUGCAUCAUUCAUGCUGUGUGACCUUACACAAGUAUUUAACCUCUCUGAUCUUUGCUCAUCUGUAAAAUACAGGCAAUCAUAGUUACCUACCUCACGGAGUGAUGGUAAGGAGUAAGUGAGAUUGUAUCUGUAAAGUGCUUUCCA
Long non-coding RNA from Equus caballus (horse), 1552 nucleotides. Lineage: Eukaryota; Metazoa; Chordata; Mammalia; Perissodactyla; Equidae. The record is from Ensembl.